GAACGCCUUAUGAGGGGAAACUCUCACGUAGGGUGUGGAGUGGGGGAAAACUAGGAGAUAACAUCAAAUAGUUACCUAUCACUAU
RNAcentral lists this non-coding RNA (85 nucleotides) under Bacillus subtilis J27. Lineage: Bacteria; Bacillati; Bacillota; Bacilli; Caryophanales; Bacillaceae. The record is from RNAcentral.